AGAGUGAGGAGAAGGGUGCCGCGCUCAUGCGGAACCGUGACCUGCAGCUGGAGAUUGACCGGCUCAAGCACAGCCUCAUGAAGGCCGAGGAUGACUGCAAGGUGGAGCGCAAGCACACGCUGAAGCUCAGGCACGCCAUGGAGCAGCGGCCCAGCCAGGAGCUGCUGUGGGAGCUGCAGCAGGAGAAGGCCCUGCUCCAGGCCCGGGUGCAGGAGCUGGAGGCCUCCGUCCAGGUGGGGCCGCAGGCAGGGCAGGUGCAGCCCAGGCAGGGCAGUGGGGGCUUCCCAGCCAGGCCAUUGCCUUUUGCCCCCUUCAGGAGGGGAAGCUGGACAGGAGCAGCCCCUACAUCCAGGUACUGGAGGAGGACUGGCGGCAGGCGCUGCGGGACCACCAGGAGCAGGCCAACACCAUCUUCUCCCUGCGCAAGGACCUCCGCCAGGGCGAGGCCCGACGCCUCCGGGUAGGAGGGCAGGGGGGGAGACAUGGCCCCUGGGGUCCAAGCCAGGCUGGGCAGGCUGAGCUCCGCCCACUCCGUGCCUGGAAGGUGGGGUGUGGAGACCCCAGUGCAGCGCCUCCACUCACCCACUCCUGGAGGCACAGUGGACGGUGCCCUCUCCUUGCCCGCCUGCCCCCCAUGGCAAAGGCCAACCUCUGGGCUCAUGGUGCCUGAGGCACAGCAGUGUCUGAGGCCUGCCGGAGGGCCCUGUCCUGCCGUGGUCUGAAAGUGCAGGGCUGGUAGGGGCCUGGGGACUCCUAUGGCCUCCCCCGACAUCCCAACUGGCCUGACCACAUGCUUCUGAGCCCCUGCCCGGAGUACACCCCAAGGGCCAGAAUGGGGGGCCUCAGGCCUGUGGGGGCUGAGCUGCCGCCCCCUGCAGUGCAUGGAGGAGAAGGAGAUGUUCGAGCUGCAGUGCCUGGCACUACGUAAGGACUCCAAGAUGUACAAGGACCGCAUCGAGGCCAUCCUGCUGCAGAUGGAGGAGGUCGCCAUUGAGCGGGACCAGAGCACACAAACGGAGGGGCUGUGACCAGCCUCCGCGCCCAGCGGCUUGACGUCCUCCGGAGCCUCUGCUAGGAGUUGGGCGGCCGGGCCGAGGGCCCAGGGCGAGCUUGGGGCCCUCACUGAGGGUCGGCCUUGUGCUGUCCCGUCAGGCCAUAGCCACGCGGGAGGAGCUGCACGCGCAGCACGCCCGGGGCCUGCAGGAGAAGGACGCGCUGCGCAAGCAGGUGCGGGAGCUGGGCGAGAAGGCGGAUGAGCUGCAGCUGCAGGUGUUCCAGUGUGAGGCGCAGCUACUGGCCGUGGAGGGCAGGCUCAGGCGGCAGCAGCUGGAGACGCUCGUCCUGGUAGGCCUGGGGCCUGGGGCAGGGAGGGGAGCCGGCGCGUGGGAUGCAGGGCCAGGGGAGCACGGAGCCUCAGCCCCGGCCUUCCUGACCCAACCCUCCUCUGUGACGGGCCCCAACCUAACCAAACCCCUCCUGGCAGUGGGGUGAGGGCACACGAGCAGCUCAGGGUCCCAGUAGGAAGUGGGGCUGCAGGGCCGGGGUGGGCCCUGGGCCUGGCCAUCAGGCAGCCUAGCAGGUUGUUCUGGGCAUGGAGGGGGCCUGGCGUGGCUGAGGGCAUGCCCAGGGAUCCCUGGAGGAUCCCGCUCUGUGCCCUGCCCACCCUGUGCCUGGGGAGCCCUCUGCCCCCACAGCCCACCCACCCCAUUUUCUAUGACCACAGAGCUCCGACCUGGAAGAUGGCUCACCCAGGAGCUCCCAGGAGCUCUCACUCCCCCAGGACCUGGAGGACACCCAGCUCUCAGACAAAGGUGAGGUGGGGACAGCAGUGCACCCAGAGGCCUCCCGGCUUCCCCAAGUGAGGCCCAUUUUCAGCACAGGCAGCCCGUGCCGCAAUGCCUGUGUCAACCCCCACAACCCCCACUCCACAGACAGGGAAACUGGGGCUGGGGAUAAGUAAAAUGGUCAAGGUCACCCAGAGAACAAACUACAGAGCCCAGCUGGAACCCAGGGCCCCAGCUAGUGGGACAAGUGUCCCCUGGGGUGGAGAGUGUGGAGGUCUGGGCAGCCCCCAUGGGCUGCAGAGGUGAGCAGGCCCACCGUCCUGAGAGUGUGGGGCCCCUCUGGGCAGCCCCCACGGGGUGCAGACGUGAGCAGGCCCACCGUCCUGAGAGUGUGGGGCCCCUCUGGGCAGCCCCCACAGGGUGCAGAGGUGAGCAGGCCCAGUCCUGGCUGCUCCAAGCUUCCUCCUGGACAGAGGGAGGUGGUAACGAGCGAACGACCAGGUGCAUGAAGCUAGAAAGUGGGGCGAGAUGGGGCCCCACGUGGCUUGAGGGAAAGGGCUGAAUGCAGGGGUGGCCAAGGGCCUGCUGUGUCCCGGUGCAGUGGGGGUAAGGCGGUGGCAGGGGCUUCUAGCGGGCAGGGCAGGCCCCCUCUGCCUGUCUGGGGGAAGGACUGGGUGGCUAGUUGGGAGCAGCUCCCGAGUGUCCAGGAGUGGGCAGUGGUGAUGGGGUAGGUGUUUGCGCUGAAGGUGCUGUCAAGUAGGGGUUGGGGAGGGCCCAGCAGAGGGGUCCUGGGAGGCUGCAUCGGAGUUGGACAAGCUUCCUGAGUACCAGGCCGUGGCCUCCAAGCAGAGGCGGAAGGGGAAGGAGGAGCCGCAGAUGGGGAAGUGAAGACCAGCGCCUUUGGCUGGAGCUCAGAACGCUUGAACAUGGGGACGCCAAGCCCCCAUGUAGGGACAGAGGCGAGCAGGACCCAGGAGUCCAGCUUAGGCACUGCCCCCAUCCCCCUGGGUGGCUGUGGCAGGAGCAGGGGCAGGUGUGAAGGUUGGAGGGUGAGCAGGGGAGGGGCUGGCUCUAAGAAGGGGCUGCCAGUGGCCAGGACAGCCCUGGCCUGGCCCUCACCGCAGUGGGGCUGAGACUGGACGUGCGUGGUUUCUGCCCAAGGGUCCUGAUGCCUGGUCUGCCCAGGUCCUGGCGGUUUCUGAGGGGGUCCAGCCGCCUGAAGGUUCUCUCCCAAUUGCUGCAGUACCCCUGCCCCCACUUCAGGAGGACCCAGACAGCCACUGUAGCUGUCCCCAACUCUCUCCCCAGGGCCGCCAUGCCCACAGAUGCUUUGGAGUGAUGGGGGACGGUGCUGCUCAGGCCCAGGGUUUAAGCUCCCCCGAGGUCUGGGAGGCGUUCCUCCCUGGCGGGCAGCCAGCUCGGGGGAGGGAUGGUCACUGGCAGGAGCGUUGGGCCUGGGCUGGCAUCUGGUGGCCUCCUGGAGCAAUGAACAGGCAAGCGAGGCCCUGAGGCCUCAGUCUCAUCUACAGAAAGCAGAGUCUACACUGGACCCAUGUGGGGAUCCCAUCAGGCCUUGGAAGACAGCCCCACCGCAAUGCCGGGGAGGGGUGGGGCAGCCGUGCUGUACGUGGCCCAGGUCCCACAGGCACGACUCUCCUUUCCAGGCUGCCUUGCCGGCGGGGGGAGCCCGAAACAGCCCUUUGCAGCUCUGCACCAGGAGCAGGUUUUGCGGAUCCCCCAUGUAAGGCUUCCCCGGGGUGGGGUCCUCCCAGCCGUGGGCCUCAGGGUGACCGAUCACAGGGAGAGUGGCUCCCUGCCCUGGGCACCCCCUGCCGUGGCCCCGACGACAGCUGAGGAGUGACCGCAAGGUCUCUGCCCACAGUGCUCGGGGUGCGGUGUCUGGGCUGCGAAGUGGAUCCCCCUCCUUUCUUGGGCACUGCAGCAGCUUGGGGGGCUUUUUGGAAGUGGAUGUGCCUGGUCCUGGUUUCCUGAGGGCCUUUACAGUGGAUGAGGAGGUGAACACAGGAGUCCUGAGAGCAAGGACCACCUCGGGCUUUGUUGUAGAAACAAUGGCCUGGAGCCCAGGCCGGAGCCGUGGCUUGGCCUCCUGGGUGUGUCUUGGCAUCUGAAAUGCAGGCUACCCACACCGGCUCACCUCCAGGGGUACAGGCAGGUCCCACAGGGAGAGCUUGGCGCUGAGCUGAGGCUGUCUGGGCUCCUCGCCUCCCAACCAGUCUGCAGUUACAGGGGCCAGUGGGGGGCGCGUGAGAAGGGCGGGUUCCCUCAGGGGAGCCGGCCGGAGCCCGAGCCUUCCCCCUUCUCCAGGACGCAGGCCUGAGCAGCGGGGAGCCGCCCGAGAAGGAGCGGCGGCGCCUCAAAGAGAGUUUCGAGAACUACCGCAGGAAGCGCGCCCUCAGGAAGAUGCAGAAAGGAUGGCGGCAGGGGGAGGAGGACCGGGAGAACACCACGGGCAGCGACAACACCGACACUGAGGGCUCCUAGCCGCAGCAGCGCAGGCCCCGACCAGGGCACACCCACCGGCCCGGCCUCCUGCCACCCGGGGGUGCCGACGCCCUGGGGCGCAGACUUCCCCGAGCCGUCGCUGACAGCCUGGAACGAGGAAUCUGGUGCCCUGAAAGGCCCAGCCGGACUGCCGGGCAUUGGGGCUGUUUGUUAAGCGGCACUCAGCUUGCGGAGGCCAUGCGGGUGCUCGCCACCCCCAUGCACACGCCAUCUGUGUAACUUCAGGGUCUGUUCUGUUUCACCAUGUAACACACAAUACAUGCAUGCAUUGUAUUACUGUUAGAAAACACAGCUGCGUAAAUAAACAAACAGCAGGGGUGACUCGC
RNAcentral lists this small RNA (4633 nucleotides) under Pan troglodytes (chimpanzee). RNAcentral describes it as "retained intron". The record is from RNAcentral. Lineage: Eukaryota; Metazoa; Chordata; Mammalia; Primates; Hominidae.